RNAcentral lists this ribosomal RNA (557 nucleotides) under Pediculus humanus (human louse). RNAcentral describes it as "partial 12S ribosomal RNA". Lineage: Eukaryota; Metazoa; Arthropoda; Insecta; Psocodea; Pediculidae. The record is from RNAcentral.
UAAAGUCAAAUUAAUUGGUUAAAGCUAAUAAAUAACUACUAUUAAGUACAACAACUCUACUUAUUAUUGUAAGAGUAAAAUCUUUAUAAAUAAGAUAGGAAUGUGUUAAUGUAACAUUAAUUCUCUUACGAGGCGCUAGCAUAAAGACUAGGAUUAGAUACCCUAUUAUGGGCGUGAGUAUGAAAGUUUAUUAAGUUAAUAGCCUUAAUUAAAGCAAAACCUAUUUACUAUGGCGGCUGUUAGUCUCACCAGAGUCGUAUGUCCUUAAACGAAACUGCGCGAUCAUCUUACCUUUUAACUUUUGCUAAUAUAAAAUAAUUACAUUAUAGCAAUCUGGCACGUCGCUGUACUAAAAGUGAAGAUUUUAAAUAACUCAUCUUCUAAUUACUUAUUAGCAUUUAUUAAUAAUGUACAAGUCAAGACGCCGUUUUAAGAGGCUUAAGAUGUACGAUUUAAUUGAUUUGAUAGAAUUUAUAAGAAUGAAAACUUUCUUUAUUAAAAUAAUUUGGAAGUAAAAUAGGGUUAUUAUUCUUAUUUGAAAUGAGCUACUAAUAAGU